RNAcentral lists this long non-coding RNA (597 nucleotides) under Cyanistes caeruleus (blue tit). Its description in RNAcentral is "lncRNA (ENSCCEG00000003160.1)". The record is from RNAcentral. Lineage: Eukaryota; Metazoa; Chordata; Aves; Passeriformes; Paridae.
CUUUGACUGGAAGGUGAGAAGAGUGGUGUUAACAGGGCUGUGUUCAUGCUGCAGUCUGUUCUCAGAUGCUUCUGAUAAAAGCAUUAAAACACACUGCUGAACUCAAGCACUGCUUUCAUACAUUAAAAACUGAAGAUCCUGGUGGAGCAGGUGAAUAUCCCUGAAGAUGCUGCCGUUAAGGCAGCCUGAAGGCAUGAAAUUACAGAUGGUGCUCACUCAUCCUAAAAUUGAAAACUUCCUCUUUCCAAAGGACUCCUGUUUUGGAACUGAAGAAGGGUUUGCAGGCUGGAAAGUUUGUCCAUGUUUUUUUUCUCCCGCUGUGCCAGCUGCUCUAGGAAAAGUUGUUAUCUCCUGCAAAUCUUUCUCCUCAGAAAAAAAAAAAAAAAAGUGUAUUUUUGCUGUUUGUUUUGGUUGGGUUUUUUUCACUUUCAGGAUUGAUUCACACAAGUAAAAACCUCAUUUCUGUUUUAACAGAAUUCUAAGGGAUAUAAAACCACUUGUAAAUCCCUCUACUUUCUGAAAAAGGACUUAAGGGCUAACAAAGUUAAGGAGGCCACUUUAAAAUGAAAAUAAAAGAUAAAGCACAGCAUGUGCCCA